ACGGUUUUAGUGCCCCAAUUGCAGUUUUAAUGGGGAUAGGCAUGUGGAAUUUGCCACCAUCUCCGAGAUGGCUACUUUUUAGAGCAGUUCAAGGUAAAGGGCCGAUGGAGGAGUAUAAAGAGUUGGCUGUCAAUGCACUUCGGAAACUAAGGGGCCGUCCAGCCGGAGAUGACAUUUCUCAGGGGCAAAUAGACGAUACUCUGGUCACGCUGAAGGCUGCCUACAAUGAAGAAUCUGAG
RNAcentral lists this unclassified non-coding RNA (239 nucleotides) under Hevea brasiliensis (rubber tree). Lineage: Eukaryota; Viridiplantae; Streptophyta; Magnoliopsida; Malpighiales; Euphorbiaceae. The record is from RNAcentral.